UUCAGGUCAAAACGGGGUUAACAAUGAAGAAAGUUUCUUGUACGGUGAUCUAUAUGUUUUUUGCAUUCGGUGUGAUUUUCUUAUGUUUUAGUGUGUUUCAGUGUGUACGUAUUUUUUAUUUAUUUUAAUGUAAAGGUUUUUGAAUUUGAAGUAUUUCUAAUGAUUUUUAUGAUCAUCUACAGAUUACAGACGCCAAAUCCUUGAAUCAGGUAUAAUCAUUUUUCUGAAUAAUAGCAAUAAUUUAUGUUCGCUGGCACUGCUGAUGAUAGAUCAUGCUUCUUAUGUGAUUUGAAUGGAAAAACUUGUUUUGUUUUUCAUUUAGCAUGAUACUCAUGUCGAUUACAUCUUGGUUGUUAGGGUAGUCUCAUGUGUAAAUCCACUCUUCUUUGCUCAAUUACAUGGUAUAAUUUUACAACAAUGAAAUAUUUUUUUUAAGAAAUUCAUAAAAACAUCCAUAUAACUUAUUAUUAUUAAAUCAUAUAGUCCAAGAUUAAAUUAAAGAGAGAAAAAAAAAAAAAAAAAAAAAAAAAAAAAACCCGUACAUUUAGGUUGAGCGCUGGUAACUUUGCAUAUUAAUUGCCUAAAAUGAAACCCAAAUUUUGGUUGAAUUCUGAGAGCUUAUUUUCCUGUUUUCUAAUUGGUGAUGUAUUGGUGCAGAUAUUGUUUGUAUUAAAAGAGAAACAAAAUAGAAAUGCCUUGUGUUUAUGGGCAAUAUCCCAAUUCUACCUUUGGGAAGUCCACUACCUAUCCAAGUUCACUCUUCACGGCUCAGUUUCUAGCAGUGCUUCAAAAUAGCGGAAUAAGUACUACUAAUAUCAAGUUCUCAACUCGUAUAAUAGUGUCUAGAGCAGCAUUGAAUUUGAAGGACUUUAAUGUGGAUGUCGAGCUAGGCAAUGACAAGUAAUAGUAGUGGUGCUGGCAUUUUGAAUGGGAAGGCUACCGAAAAGGUCAGAGACUACAGCUAAAGAAUGCUGGUUGUUAAGCGUUCGAGAGGAUAAGAGCGCAAAUAUGAACAUCUUCGUAUCUAUCUUGCUUUGGCAAAUCAUUCUCCAUUUCUGCUAUCAUUAAAAUUUUGUUUGAUUGCAAUUUUACAAUGCAAUAAGUGAAUGAGCAUUUUGCAGUUUGUUCUAAUUUUGUCCAACUAUAUAUUGAUUUUAAGUUUGUUUUAUUCUGUGCUACUGAAUAUUUAGUUGAUGGAUAAUGUUUGGUAGAUUAGUGAUCUAUUCCCAGAAUCUGCGUUAUUAGAUUGAAUAAAAUAUUUUUUUUUUCCAAUUAAUAGGAAAUUUGCAAUGUUGAGAAUUCAGGAGUCCAAUUAAGUCUACUUUAUGUAGUCAUAUAG
This 1339-nucleotide long non-coding RNA is filed under the name Olea europaea subsp. europaea. Lineage: Eukaryota; Viridiplantae; Streptophyta; Magnoliopsida; Lamiales; Oleaceae. The record is from RNAcentral.